RNAcentral lists this ribosomal RNA (468 nucleotides) under uncultured bacterium. RNAcentral's name for it is "partial 16S ribosomal RNA". It matches the Rfam family "Bacterial small subunit ribosomal RNA", at positions 28 to 507 of the family's 1533-position model. The record is from RNAcentral.
GACGAACGCUGGCGGCGUGCUUAACACAUGCAAGUCGAACGGAAAGGCCCUGCUUUUGUGGGGUGCUCGAGUGGCGAACGGGUGAGUAACACGUGAGUAACCUGCCCUUGACUUUGGGAUAACUUCAGGAAACUGGGGCUAAUACCGGAUAGGAGCUCCUGCUGCAUGGUGGGGGUUGGAAAGUUUCGGCGGUUGGGGAUGGACUCGCGGCUUAUCAGCUUGUUGGUGGGGUAGUGGCUUACCAAGGCUUUGACGGGUAGCCGGCCUGAGAGGGUUACCGGCCACAUUGGGCCUGAGAUACGGCGCAGACUGCUACGGGAGGCAGCAGUGGGGAAUAUUGCACAAUGGGCGGAAGUCUGAUGCAGCAACGCCGCGUGCGGGAUGACGGCCUUCGGGUUGUAAACCGCUUUCGCCUGUGACGAAGCGUGAGUGACGGUAAUUGGUAAAGAAGCAACGGCUAACUACGUG